Dermacentor albipictus is the source of this 2031-nucleotide non-coding RNA. The record is from RefSeq and is a predicted model, not a curated record. NCBI's taxonomy places the organism in Eukaryota, Metazoa, Arthropoda, Arachnida, Ixodida, Ixodidae.
GUGUCAUCGAAUGAUGUGGCGUGCACUGCCUGCCGAAACCCAGUGGUCGAAUGUGACGGAAUCCCCCUGCUCUCGCACGCAUUCUAGCCACCAUGAGACAGGCAUGGAACAUCGGUAUUUCAACACGAGAAACAAUAGCGGGCGAGUUUCUUUAGAAAAAAUGAAUAUGUUUUAACAAAAUUCAUGUACGAGGCGAGGAAGAACAGCAGAAGAAAAGCACACGAACGCGUUGGGUCUUUCAGUAAAAGGUUGUUGAAAACAUUGGAUGGUUCUAUCACAUAUCAAUAUAAUUCAACUUGUCUACUAAAAUGUCCCUGCUCAGAACCUUUCAGUUGUCUGCAUACAUUUUCUGCCUUUAACCGGGUUCGUUUCAUUCCCUGCACUGCCUUGAUGCUGUCAACCAAAAAUUUCCCAUGCUUAAUUCAACCAUAAGCGCUCAAGAUGAGGUUAAUAGUUAGUGUGCAAGAAGCGCGUGCCUAAGAAAACCAUGCCGACACGCGGUACCAGCUAGGCAGCGUGCGUACUGAAGUAUAAACGCGCGGCGAGGGAGCUGGGGAUGCGGUACGCGCUACGCGACCGGCGUAACUGCUUUGAAAUAAACAACCUACAUGUCGGCGAACCAUUCUGCAUUGCACUUAGGAUGUUUUAAAAACUUGUAGCAACUGAUUCCACUGCCAACUUUCUUUGGGCAUUAUAAGCUGUGCCGAAGAUUGGCAUUACAACGACCGCAAAUUUAAGUUACAGCAGACACGAAACGCGCCAAACGUUCAGUGAAAUGAACAGGAUGCCGCUACACUCACAUACAAGCGAGCGCCGUCCGCUCCGUUGUCUUUUUUAGGAGACAUAGACAGAUGAAAAGAGCGUUAAAUGUGUGAAGCCGCCAACUGAGAAAUGAAAUCUUUACCACUGUCCAAACACGAAAUGCUUCCACCAUCACACCAAUAACAUCACUGGCACCUCUGACAUUUAUUUCUGUAAUUCAUUGCUUGUUUUCAUUUUUUUUUCAUUUUUGCUUGUGCCUCUAAGUGCCUUUUUCUAACAUGGCGGCAGCGAGCAGGCAUCAGCCACACCGGAGCGCGGCCAUCCACGGUGCUAUCAUCUCUCCUCCUCGGCCCAAUCGAGAUAGCUCGAGUUGCACGCUGGGAAGAUUUUAAGCGGGAGCGGGAGGCUCGGAGCCGGCGGGAGUGGUUAGCGCGCUGUCGUCCUGUCGUUGUUGUCGUUCUGAGACGGCCAUUAUAUUUGACUUGUUUGGAUACCAUCCGAUCACCAUUGUGUGCUGCCACCACUUGUAGCCUGCAGUAGUUAUUACCGCUUCUACUGGGAACUUGCGCCAUCCGCUGCACCCUCAUGCCUUUGUGCAGCAGAGACCUUUUCGGUGUGUUGCGCGGUCGCUGCAACGAGCCGGGUUGUGAGUGCAAGCGAUACACCAUUCUGCGCCUGUCGGAAAGUGACAACCUGGUGAGGUGUGACUAUUGUGACCACGUCCCAAAUGCACACGGAAAAAUAUGUGAUCUCGAAACGAAAAAUGCAGCCGAGGCAAAGGUGCAAUGCAAUGUGCCAGGCACCGUUGUUCGAGGCCUCAGUGUCACAUGAAACUGUGGAAGCUUGCACAUCUAGUCUCCUCAGUGCAAUAUGAGAGGACUGUCCCAGUUGGUGCCUCCAUAGAAAAUGAAUCGGCCUGAAUGCCUGUGCAAGAAUCACAACCUGGCUGCUCUAAAGACUCCGCACCGUAGUCCCAUGUGCAAGAGCCCCCACUUGACAGCCCAGUGGUUGCCAUGGACAAAGAGAUCCGCGAUACUGAAUGCGGCCAAGCAGUACAAGUUUUUACAUGGACAGUUAACACGAAGUUAUUGACGACAUGCAUGGCUGAAACACGGUGAUAUGAUUUUAAAAAUUCCUGUGUUAUGAUGCAAGUGAUAGUAUUCUGUUGAAUUUUCAGAUCUAGUCAUGUGCCAGCAAGGCCUGCUGUACUUCUGGUGUAUUCUAUGUUGUAUUUUCAAAUAAAGAUGUUGCAUUCUGAAGUUAACCUUA